Non-coding RNA from Pimephales promelas (fathead minnow), 665 nucleotides. NCBI's taxonomy places the organism in Eukaryota, Metazoa, Chordata, Actinopteri, Cypriniformes, Leuciscidae. The record is from RefSeq and is a predicted model, not a curated record.
GAAUGAGUGAGUGUUGAGAAGAGCUGAGGAUCUUCUAAUAUCAGUGUGUUGAAGUGUUGUUUCUCUCUCUCUGCUGGAGUGUGUGUUCACUCGAGUGGAAUAGAGGUUUUUGUACGAGUGUUUCAUUAGAUUGGAUCACUGUGGUGGACAUUCGGUGGAGGAACUAAACUGGUGAUCACUGGUCCCACAGUGAAGCCCUCAGUGUCUCUGCUGCCGCCCUCUUCUCUGCAGAUCUCUGGAGACUCAGCCGCACUGCUCUGCCUGCUCAGCUCUUACUCUCCACAGGGGGCGCUGGUGAGCUGGACACUGGACGGGUCAGAGGUCACCGAGGGGGUUCUGACCAGCGCAGAGAGCCAGCAGGACGGCCGCUACAGCCGCAGUAGCGUCCUGACCCUCAGCAAAGCACGCUGGGAAGAGGGAGAGCUGUACGUCUGCAGAGUAACACAUGAUGGAGCUCCUCAUGAGGUCUCGUUCCACAAGAGCUCUGAGUGCUGAUGUUUCUCUCCUGAAGAUGAGCCGUAUCUGAGUGUCCUGUGUCAGGCAGGAUUCACAUGAGUCUAGUGCUGCAGCUGGAGUGCUUUACAACUCAAUACUCAAACAGUGUGUGUGUGUGUUUGUGUGUGUGUGUUUGCUGCAACAUUCAAUAAAGCUUCUCAACAAGUUCA